This is an RNA transcript of Tripterygium wilfordii, 5424 nucleotides long. RefSeq lists it as uncharacterized. The record is from RefSeq and is a predicted model, not a curated record. NCBI's taxonomy places the organism in Eukaryota, Viridiplantae, Streptophyta, Magnoliopsida, Celastrales, Celastraceae. The transcript is spliced from 6 exons.
UACUGUCAGAUAUCUUGACUGGAAUAGUAGUUUUGUAAGUUCUUCCAAGGAGGAUCAGCAAAUGGAUGGAAUGUGCGGCCUGUGGCCAUGUUAUGAAAAUCCCAGUAAUUGGUUUCCAAGUGCUCCUUUGUAUGCGCUUAGAGGUACACGGGCUUCUGGUUUCUGGACAUGGCUUCUUGGUUGGAUGCCUUAUAACCCCCAUAUGUAGUGAUUAAAAUUUCAGGGAACACCUACUGAUGCUAGAAAUAUACGUCUACCUCAUCUUUUUUCUCCUCUUUUCGUACUUCAAGGAGCUGGUGUUAUAUUUGCUGCUUCUAAGUUGGUGGAGAAAUUUGUGCUUUACUGAAAAAUGGGGCUGGCUCAGGAAGAUAUUUUACAUUCUCUUCAAGAGCUUAUGACUACUUGGAUUUCUUGCAUCAUGGUUCCAGGUAAGGCAGGCUUGUUUAUCAGGAGACAAACCUUCAAGGCAUGAACUUACCUCUUUUUAAUCGGUACAAGUGUCCAAUGCUUGGGAAUCACUGAAUUAGUAACUCUGUACUUCUGCUUUUGCAAUCUGUGAAGUUUAGGUUAUUGGGUUGGUGGUCUAUUGAUGAAGGAAGUCAUGAGGAACAGGCUCGACUUUUCCAAGAAGGGGCUUAUGGGUUAUCGGUGUGGUUCCUAACAGGCUACAUGGGUGAUUCAUGCUCUUUUGAUCAGAACGCUCAGGUUAUUUGGGUGAUUCUUGAUGUAAAGUUGGGUUUCUAUUUCUGGCUGGUUUGGUGCGUUAUUUAGUCUCAAUCUGUCAGGGCUUAACUUUUGUUUGCCGAUUAAGGUGGUGGUUCAUGGUGCUGAUUAUGUUGAUUCAUGGACGAUGAACAGCGAGGAUUAAGGUUCACGAGCUGAGACAGAAAUCGAAGGCGGAGCUCUUGAACCAGCUCAAGGAUCUCAAGGCCGAGCUUGCUCUCCUCUGUGUUGGUAAAGUCAAGCAACCAUUCUCUUUUUCAUGUAUGUAUGCGUAUCCUGAGUUAUAAUUGAAUUUUUUUUUUUUUAGUUAUUAUAUGAAGCUGUGCUUAUGAAUUCGAUUUUUUUGUGAAUUAUUCAUAAAUCAGGUUAGGAUUGACUGAAAUUUGUUAAGUUGCUUAUGUUGAUAGAAAUCUUGCUUUUGUCAAUUGAAGUCAUCCACUGUAUUUGUAUCAUUCAGUGUUCAGGUGUGUAAUUGGAGUGAGGAAAUCCAUCUACCUGCAGCUCGACUUUGUGCUUCUGGGCUGGUUUUUUUUUUUUUUGGUGUUUCCAGGACAGAUUGAAAGGCAUGAGUACAAGAGAGAUCAAAUCACCAGAGGACUGCCAAAUACACCAGCAAGUUUUGAUGGAAACUUCGAUCAUUGAAGCAUGGCAUUUGGAAAUUUUGAUCAGAGACGCGCCAUUGACAUUUUUUAUGGGCUUGGUUUCAACAAACAUGUGCAUGCCAACAAAACAGGUGGCUGCAUUAAGAGUAUUGCAAUAGCACUGAGUUUUUUAUGAAUCUAAAAAUGUUGUUACUUCAUGACCCUACCAGUUAUGCCAAAUACAAAUGUUGCUUUUUGUCAUUCUAUCCAAUUUCCCCCUGAAAUAAAUACUGUUUUCAACUUUGAUCUAGAUCAUAAUAACUAUUAUUAAUUUAUACAUAUUAUCAACGUUAAUUCUUCUCAUGUGUGCUUUCAACUACUUUGCCAUUUCAUCUCAUGGUCAAGCCUUUUCUGCUGUAGGAUCUAGGAUUUUGACAGAAAUGGCGCCAUGAGCUUUGAAGGUAAAUUGAAUGUGUUUCCAUUGUCUUGAGAAUUUUUCUUCUGUGUCAAUUUAAUCCAUUGACGCUGCAAGUUGUAGUAUUUGUUGCGCUCAACAAGUUCCUUCUUAAGGUUAGUUCUUUUGAUAACUUUAAUUAGUUGCUAUUACCUAAUGAGGUUGGAGGAGCAGACUGGAGGAGUAGCCAGCUUAAGUUGCUGACUUCCUGGCAGAGGCUGCUGAAGUUGAUGAGUAAUUGCUGCAGCAGGAUCUGUGUUUUGGUUGGUAUUGUAGGGAUGAGCUUUUAUGGAGUACUCCGGCUUUAAUUGCAUACCUGGCAACGCACUACAGGGGCAAGGGAAUAGCUGUGAAAGAUGUAUUUCACGUUUGUCCGAUUUAUUUCAAUAUAUUUGAUUGUGUUCUGUUCAAUGUUUUCUCCCAUUUUUCUUUAGCAUUGUUUUUUCAAUACCUAUCAAUGCAAUACUUUUUGUAGUUUAUUCAAAGUAAGUGCACUAUCUUUCAUUAAAAGUUUCUUGGGCUUUCUCUGGGUUUUAUUAGUUAUUGAAUGCUAUUGGUUUAUUCAAUUUGGGCAAAUUGAAGUUACUAUUGCUGUAAAGGUAGUAAUGGCUAUCAAGUAAGUGUUGUUUCUUUUAUUUGCAAUGUUCACAUUUCAAAAUUUAUUUUAACUUUCAUUGAAUAUGUUUUUGGUCAAUUAUUAUCAUUAUUCAUUUGUAUUGUCCACUUGGGCAAAUUCAAGGUUUUUUGGUUUGGCUGUAGAAGUUGAAUUGUGAAUUCUUAUUCGUGGGAUGUAAAGCCGGAACUCUUGCUUGGUUAUACCUUGAAUGGUUCACUCUUGCAAUUGUUUGAUAUAUAUGGUGGAUAUAGCUGUUGUGUAUGAGUAGUUGAAUGCUGACAAGCACAACUUCAACUACCAACUUUUUACUUCUAACAGUAUGUAGUGUGUCAUGACUUACCUUGAGAAUUGAAGGAUCAUGAGCUAAUUUGUUUUCUUUGUGUUUUCAUGAUAGGUUGAAAGAUAUAAAUACCAGAGAAAUCAAGUCACCUGAACAUGUGCCGGAGACAUCAGCAAGUUUUGAUGGAAACUCUGAUCAAAACAGAGGGAAGAAGCUUGGGAUGUUCUUCAUAGAAUAUGAUAAUCGAAGGAUGGCUUUUGGGAGAGGAUAAACCGAAGGCACUACACCUCUUAACAUUCAAUGAAAACCCAUUAAGGAUCUGUCGAAAACUGGUGGUUGGUUCUUAGCAGAUGUUUAUUCCUCUAUAUGAUUUUCUUGCUUUGUCACUAACUAUCUCUUACGUUCAUAUUGUUUUUUCUUCUGAUUGUGAGGCUAGAGCCAGGGGGUUUUCAUAAAAAAGUUGGAACCCUGGUUGUGGACUUUUUAUCAGUGAAUGAGCUCUAAAUAUUUGGGUCUGUGCAUAAACUGAAGCUCUAAUUUUUUUUUUCAAGGCACAUGAAUCGGGGCUUUGGCUGAUUCUUUUUUGGUUUUGCUGGCAUUUGGCGAGAAAAUUUAAUGUUUUUGCAUACUGGGUUCUGAAAGGCAAAACAUUUGAAAACUCAUCUAUGUUUUGUAGAUUAACUUUGAUGGUUUAUUGUAGAGUAUAAGAACAUCAGAAGACGAAAAUAGGUAUUCUUCAUCAAGGAGCGAUCCAACAAUUCCAAUCUCUGAUUGAAAAGGAUCAAACCCUGACUCAGCUAAAGGAUAGAAAAAUCAGAGGAAUGACGAGGGCUAUGUUCAGCCACCUAGAAGAAGCAGCAAAAGAUCUUCAUUUGGCUUCAAGAUUGAAUCAUGAAGACGAAAUUGGUUUGAUACUUAAAAGGUGAUAUGCCUUCCAUCUCCUCUCUACUUUUUCUUAUAUCCUUUGGGUAAACAUGCUAAGAAAGCAAAACAUCUCAAUUUUAGUUGGAAGAUCUACAUUUAACAUCAUUUUCCGUGAAUGUGUAAUCCCUUGAAGUAGUUUUCAUGGAUUAUUAGGAAAACCCGAGGGACAUAUUAUAACCCUUUUCUUCUCUUGGUCAUUGACGUUACAACAAUGAUUUUUUCUUCAAAUUGUUGUAUUCGAAGCUGAGAUGUCCGAAUGGUUUUUAUUGGGGUUCCAAAUAAUUGCAACAACCAGAGUGCAGGGAUUUAUCAAUUGUUGACACAGGCCGGCGUCGUUUCGCAUCUUUUUGCCUGAACCUGAGUGAGCAAUAUGACGCCGUUGUGCAUCUACUCUGACAUAGCUUCUUGAUGAUGCGCUUUGUCGGGAGUGCAUCAAUUCACCCAUGUGUCGUCUUCACCAUCUCACUAUUGCUUCUCCUAUCUAAGCCUGGGUAACCUCUUCGGCUUGCAUGGUUUGCCUUUCGAUCAUCUCUGAUGAUCUCUGAUUUUCUUUUGCUCUCUUGUGGUUUCGUUUUUGCCUUGCGUUAUUUGCCCGGUGAUCUCCGAUUUUAUUUUGCUCCCUUGUGGUUUCUUUUUUGCGUUUUGUUAUUUGCCUUAUUUUCUAAGUGAAGGGUGGGAGCUCCUGGUUCUCCCACACUUCUCUCAUCACCGAGAUCAUCAUGAACAACUUAUUUAGGAGAUUUUAUUGUAUGUGUGAAGCUUAUUUAGGAGAUCGUAUGUCUGCGUGAUAGCAGCUUGAAAAUCCUAGACAUUUUCUGGAUUUGACAGUAGAUAUCGGCUGCCGGAGGAAGUGAUGGUAUUGGUUGUUCUGCUUCUGAUUCAGAUCUCUCUGUUUUGAUUACUACCAAAAGGAGUCUCUGUCCUUCUUAGCCUCUCGAUGAGGGUGGGAUUUUUCCACUGUAAUCUCUGCUCUACCGCCAUGCCCGGGUUAUUUCCUUACCCAAUUGUCAACUAGCUGAUGAGGAGCUGUCGGAGUGCAAGAGAGCCGAGGUUGUUUCAAAUGCUAGCCGUGAUGUUGGGUCUAGCUAUUGAUUACAGAAGGCUUGUGGGUUUGACAUGGGGGAUUUAAUAUUCUUGCUGAGAAUUGCUUGGUUUGUGCCUUUAUUUCAGUUCUUCCCGCUGUAUCUGAUCCUGGAUAUUUCCAUGUCAAGAGAGCAGCAUCAAUUUUCAUCAGUACUAUCUGGUCGUACAGUUGGCUGAACUCAUUCUCAGAUUGCUCCGGGAACUUUUUAAUAGAUAUGGGAAAAUGAGGGAAAUGGCAUGACAGACUUCUUAUUCCCAUUCUUGAUUUUGUCCCAGAGAAGCAGUCAACAGCAGCUCAAUACCUUCUUCAUCUGUGGAUCAAUGCAGGCCCUCGCCUCAUAGGGCCAUCUGUGACUUCUAAAGAAAACCAAAGCCUUAGUCAGGCUUUCUCUGCUCUAUACCAAUUGAUUAUUAUUUCUUUACUUAAAUGUUCCCGCUUUAUUAUUGCAGGCAAGAGCAAUUCAGGCCCAGGAUCAGCCUCUGUCUUACAUCUGUUGAGAAAGGUUUUCUUUUUGGUUUGGUGAGCUUUUGUUUUGGGAUUUUCUUGGCCUGUAGUCUUUCUUUCUUUUUCUUUUUUUUUUUAUGUUUUCAUAUUUGAUAACAUUGAUUUCCUUUGUUAUUCUUUAAGUCGUCUCCCUUUAAAGUUAUAGGUUUUUUUUUUUCCCUAUUGUUUUCCCAGAUUUUAGAUUAAUUUGCUGAUGUUUCCAAGUAAGCCAUAUUCAUCAAAUAAUUUCUAUGUUUUAUUGAAUCCAAUGAAAACAUA